GACGAACGCUGGCGGCGUGCUUUAGACAUGCAAGUCGAACGAGAUCUUCGGAUCUAGUGGCGAACGGCGGAGUAAUACAUAAACAACGUGCCCUGAAGACUGGGAUAUACGGUCGAAAGGCCGAGCAAUACCGGAUGUGGCCGAGACCAGGCAUCUAGACUCGAUUAAAUGGUUUUUCGCUUCAGGAGCGGUUUACGACUCAUCAGCUAGUUGGUAGGGUAAUGGCCUACCAAGGCUACGACGGGUAGGGGGUCUGAGAGGAUGAUCCCCCCGACGUGGGAC
Molecule: ribosomal RNA, 282 nt
Filed under: uncultured bacterium
Lineage: Bacteria
Description: partial 16S ribosomal RNA
Rfam family: Bacterial small subunit ribosomal RNA
Source: RNAcentral